UUGCCUCAUAUAAGGUAAAAGAAAAAGUUUUUGCUUCCCAAGUGAUGCAUCCUUCAAAAGAGAGGUUUUCUUGGGGGAAACUCCCUCCGCAGAGACAGUAGGGUCCAUUUGAAGUAAACAGCUGCUCUUUCACAUCUCUCCAGCUAAUGUCACACAUGUCCAGGCUGUAGCACCUUUCUGCCUAGGCUUUGUGUCGAAGACAGAGCUUUUAUAAAUUCCCUUCUCCGCCGCGGAACAAUCAAAGUCCAGUUUCAGAAAGCAAGAGAGAGAUUGAGGAGGACUAGAUGAUCAACAAUGUCAACUGUCAACUGUGCAAAGCAAAACUUGUUUCUCUCAAAAGAUAAAAAGGUAUGGCAAAUGUUUUCUUGUGGACCAAGUCAAGAUGAUGGAAUAAUAUGCUGCAACUUGUUCCCAUGGUAUUCCAUAUACCAACGUGGUGCUUCCUGUUACUGCUGGUGAAGGAGCCUCGCUGUUUCAACACAAUGCAUGCCAAGUGCUGGGAAAGUGAAGACCCUACAUAUGGUGUCCGCCCCCCCAACCCCCCAUGGUCCAGUGAAAUACAACUCACAAGUUUACUUUGGUUGUGCAUGUGGAGCUGAUAAGUAUUUAACUUUUAUUAUGUCACUGCUUUUUAACUGACAAAGCUCAGAGGCCCAUCACAGCUUUUAAUAUCCUACAAGUACACAAAAAAAACAAAACAAACCCAACAAAUUCAACGAGCACAGAGAAACUGUGCCCUACAAUGUGGGAAGGAGGAAGAAUGAGAAAUCAAACAUAUCGCAUGUAUUCAGCCUGGGUUUACUGUGCACAUUCUCAAGGAUGAGAGUCAAGUCCUCAGGCCCAAGGUGCAGUGCUGCAUCUCUGGUCAAUUGGGAGUCUGAGAUGAAGCACUGUAGCACGGGAAGAGGGACACUGCUACUGUAAACACACAUCGGCAUUUGUUAUGAACGUUUUAUUAGCCAGAUUUUAAUAAUAAAAUGUAGGUUAAAUACCUGAGCUACGAAUCAGUUGGUUGCGAUUUCAAAUCCCAGCACUGCUGAAUGAAAAUGAGUCAUUUACUGAGUCCGAGUCAUUUACACUGAGUCAUUUACUGAGUCCGAGUCAUUUACACUGCCCAUAACUUUAAUCUGUUUGGUUCAGUUAUUCGCUUGGAUAAAUGUGAAAUGUUUUAUAGAUAGUAUUUACCUGUUUUGUGGUAUCCUUUUGUCUGAUACAGAGCCUUUCUUCCCUGUCCCCGGGGUCCAGUUUUCCCAGGAAUCCCUUGGGAAUUUACAAAGGGGAUUCCUGGAAAUACUGUUCUUGGGGGUGGGGUUAGACAUCAUGAAUGUUAGUUUAAUUGAAUCAUGUGGCUAUUAUGGGAUAAACAAUCAAUUUACAUGCUACUGUAGCAAAGUUCUCUGUAUUUUUGUUUUAAAUAUCUUGCGAUCAAAACACUAACAGAAUGUAACACUCUUAAUAAAAUUGUGAGACAA
Ictalurus punctatus (channel catfish) is the source of this 1472-nucleotide long non-coding RNA. RefSeq lists it as uncharacterized. Lineage: Eukaryota; Metazoa; Chordata; Actinopteri; Siluriformes; Ictaluridae. The transcript has 4 exons. The record is from RefSeq and is a predicted model, not a curated record.